GUCUGCACUUGUCGGGGAAGGGUGAGAACCUUCGAUUAAGGUUCGACUCGAGCGAAAGCGAGAGAACGUUGCCAACGGCAACGGCCCGUGGGUGAGGAGCGAAGCGACGAAUAAUCCUUCCCCCACCACCA
RNAcentral lists this small RNA (131 nucleotides) under Salmonella enterica. RNAcentral's name for it is "RtT sRNA". It matches the Rfam family "RtT RNA". Rfam says of the family: This family represents a bacterial cis-regulatory element known as RtT RNA. The exact function of RtT is unknown although it is thought that it may be involved in changing the cellular response in relation to amino acid starvation. The record is from RNAcentral. Lineage: Bacteria; Pseudomonadati; Pseudomonadota; Gammaproteobacteria; Enterobacterales; Enterobacteriaceae.